UACGGGGAGGCAGCAGUGGGGGAAUAUUGCACAAUGGGCGCAAGCCUGAUGCAGCCAUGCCGCGUGUGUGAAGAAGGACCUUCGGGUUGUAAAGCAACUUUCAGUCGUGAGGAAGGUAGUGUAGUUAAUAGCUGCAUUAUUUGACGUUAGCGACAGAAGAAGCACCGGCUAACUCCGUGCCAGCAGCCGCGGUAAUACGGAGGGUGCGAGCGUUAAUCGGAAUUACUGGGCGUAAAGCGCAUGCAGGUGGUUUGUUAAGUCAGAUGUGAAAGACCCGGGGCUCAACCUCGGAAUAGCAUUUGAAACUAGGCAGACUAGAGUACUGUAGAGGGGGGUAGGAAUUUCAGGUGUAGCGGUGAAAUGCGUAGAGAUCUGAAGGAAUACCGGUGGCGAAGGCGGCCCCCUGGACAGAUACUGACACUCAGAUGCGAAAGCGUGGGGAGCAAACAGGAUUAGAUACCCUGGUAG
RNAcentral lists this ribosomal RNA (468 nucleotides) under uncultured bacterium. RNAcentral describes it as "bacterial SSU rRNA". It matches the Rfam family "Bacterial small subunit ribosomal RNA", at positions 340 to 793 of the family's 1533-position model. The record is from RNAcentral.